CACGCCGUAAACGAUGGAUGCUAGCUGUUAGGAGUAUCGACCCUUCUAGUAGCGAAGCUAACGCGUUAAGCAUCCCGCCUGGGGAGUACGGUCGCAAGAUUAAAACUCAAAGGAAUUGACGGGGACCCGCACAAGUGGUGGAGCGUGUUCUUUAAUUCGAUGAUAAGCGAAGAACCUUACCAGGGCUUGACAUCCUUGGAAUUUCUCCGAAAGGAGAAAGUACUUUAUUGGACCAAGUGACAGGUGU
Molecule: ribosomal RNA, 247 nt
Filed under: uncultured bacterium
Lineage: Bacteria
Description: partial 16S ribosomal RNA
Rfam family: Bacterial small subunit ribosomal RNA
Source: RNAcentral